RNAcentral lists this long non-coding RNA (2194 nucleotides) under Homo sapiens (human). RNAcentral describes it as "CCDC18 antisense RNA 1". Lineage: Eukaryota; Metazoa; Chordata; Mammalia; Primates; Hominidae. The record is from RNAcentral.
ACCCACGCCGGCGGGAGCCGCCCGUUCGCGCUGCCAGCAGCUUCCGCCUGCUACGGUCCUGGCAAGCACCUCGGGAUCCCAUUCCUUCACAGGGACCCUAGCCAGUUAAAGCUGAUACAUUCCUGUGGGUCAACUAUGCAACUAACUCAGAUUUUGAGCAAACAAAGCUCUCAAGUUGGUGAUCCUCAGGAGUCUCUGCAUUAGUUGGACAGCUCUUCUGGAAUUAUCUUCUAAGUCAACUGUGGGUUGGGUAGGUGGCUCUGCUGAUUUUUCGCUGGACUUCCACAUUUGGGACGAGUUGGCUGUCAUCAGCUCUAGAAAGGGUGUGGCCGUUUUACAUUGGCUGUUUUCCUCACAUUCCUCAAGCAGAAUUUCCUUUCAUCUCUGGUAAAAGUCAGCUCUCUAACUACUGCAUCUCACAGCUGAACAGAUAACUGAUACCGUGCUUCCAGAAGAUUUUUCUAACAGUGUUUGCAAGCUAUAAAAUAGUGCUUUCACUUAGAAAAGGCUAGACGUGGUGGUUCAUGCCUGUAAUCCCAGCACUUUGAGAGGCCGAGGCACCAUGCUGGGAGAUAAGGAUCCAACAUAAGACAAACAGUGCUGAUGCUUUUGGAAAGCUCAUAUUCAAGCUGGGGAGACAAACAACAUACAAAAGUUCUCAUCAUGAUACUUUAAGGAUGAGGACAGCUGAUGUGGCUGGCCUGAAAAAUAAGGUGGCUGUAGCUACCUUCUGCAUAUGGAUAUCCAGUUUUCCCAGCACCACUUAUUAAAGAGACUGUCUUUUCUGCAGUGUAUAUUCUUGGCACCGUUGUUGAAAAUGAAUUCAUUGUAGGUGUGUGGGUUUGUUUCUGGGUUCUCUAUUCUGUUCAACUUGUCUAUGUGUCUGUUUUUAUGCCAGUACCGUGUCAUUUUAGUUACCAGAGCUCUGCAGUAUAAUUUGAAACCAGGUCAUGUGAUUCCUCCAGUUUUGUGGUAUUAGGAUAGGUUUGGCUAUUCUGAGUCUUUUGUGGUUCCAUAUAAAUUUUAGAAUUUUUUUUUUCUAUUUCUGUGAAGAAUGUCAUUGGUAUUUUGAUAGGGAUUGCGUUGAAUCUGUAGAUUGCUUUGGGUAGUAUGGACAUUUUAACAAUAUUCAUUCUUCUAAUCCAUGAACAUGGAAUACCUUUCCAUUUUUUGGUGUCCAUUUCAAUUUCUUUCAUCAGUCUUAUACUUUUCAUUAUAGAGAUCUUUCACUUCUUGGAUUAACUCCUAUGUAUUUAAUUUUACUUGUAGCUAUUGUAAAUGGGAUUACUUUUUUUUUUUUUUUUGACGGAGUUUCACCCUUGGCAUCCAGGCUAGUGUGCAAUGGCGCAACCUCAGCUCACUGCAACCUCCACCUCCCAGGUUCAAGCAAUUCUCCUGCCUCAGCCUCCUGAGUAGCUGGAAUUACAGGUGCCCGCCACCACACCCGGCUAAUUUUUGUAUUUUUAGUAGAGACAGGGUUUCACCACGUUGGUCAGGCUGGUCUUGAACUCCUGACCUCAGAUGAUCUGCCCACCUCGACCUCCCAAAGUGCUGGGAUUACAGGCAUGAGCCACCACUUCCAGCAAGGGAUUACUUUUUUAAUCUCUUUUUCAGAUUUUUCACUGUUGGCAUAUAGAAAUCCUACUAAUUUUUGUAUGUUGAUUUUGUAUCCUGGAACUUUACUGAAUCUGUUUAUAAUUUGUGUAUUUGUUUAUAGUAGUUUUUUGGUGGACUCUUUCAGUUUUUCCAAAUAUAAGAUCAUAUCAUUGGCAAACAAGGACAGUUUGAUUUCUUCUAUUCCAAUUUGGAUGCCUUUAUUUCUUUCUGUUGUCUGAUUGCUCUAGUUAGGACUUCCAGUACUAUGUUGAAUAACAGUGAUGAAAGUGGGCAUCCUUGCCAUGUUCCAGAUCUUAGAAAAGAGGCUUUCAGUUUUUCACCAUUCAGUUUGAUACUAGCUGUGGCAGCUUCCAUGAGAAUCACGCAGUUUGAAGAAGCAUUUCACUGAAAAAUAGGGAUUGCUGUUCUGGAAAGACAAAACAAUUGUCUACAAUUCUAAAGAAGAAGUGAACACAAUAAUUAAAUCAAUGUUAUUCUGGGUCUAAAGCUUAUAUUCUUAAUUACUAUAUUAUCCCAUCUUAAAAUUUUAAUUUGGAAAUUAUAUAUCUAAAUAUUAUAAUCAAUAAAGUUGAACACA